Molecule: ribosomal RNA, 291 nt
Filed under: Boophis reticulatus
Lineage: Eukaryota; Metazoa; Chordata; Amphibia; Anura; Mantellidae
Description: partial 16S ribosomal RNA
Rfam family: Bacterial large subunit ribosomal RNA
Source: RNAcentral
GGCCCCUGUCUGCUCGGUUUUGGGUUGGGGUGACCGCGGAGCAUAAAAUAGCCUCCACGAAAGAAGGGAUGAUUCCCUCAUUUUAGAACUACACUUCCAAAGACUAACAAAUUAAUUUUAAGUGAUCCGAUACCCGUAUUCGAUCAACGAACCAAGUUACCCUGGGGAUAACAGCGCAAUCUACCUCAAGAGCCCCUAUCGACAGGUGGGUUUACGACCUCGAUGUUGGAUCAGGGUAUCCCAGUGGUGCAGCAGCUACCAAAGGUUCGUUUGUUCAACGAUUAAAACCCU